CAGUAGCCACGGAAUACAGAGGGUGCGAGCGUUAAUCGGAUUUACUGGGCGUAAAGCGUGCGUAGGCGGCUUUUUAAGUCGGAUGUGAAAUCCCUGAGCUUAACUUAGGAAUUGCAUUCGAUACUGGGAAGCUAGAGUAUGGGAGAGGAUGGUAGAAUUCCAGGUGUAGCGGUGAAAUGCGUAGAGAUCUGGAGGAAUACCGAUGGCGAAGGCAGCCAUCUGGCCUAAUACUGACGCUGAGGUACGAAAGCAUGGGGAGCAAACAGGAUUAGAUACCCGUGUAGUCCCUGUCUCUUAUACA
This 301-nucleotide ribosomal RNA is filed under the name uncultured bacterium. RNAcentral describes it as "partial 16S ribosomal RNA". It matches the Rfam family "Bacterial small subunit ribosomal RNA", at positions 509 to 808 of the family's 1533-position model. The record is from RNAcentral.